Molecule: ribosomal RNA, 396 nt
Filed under: uncultured bacterium
Lineage: Bacteria
Description: bacterial SSU rRNA
Rfam family: Bacterial small subunit ribosomal RNA
Source: RNAcentral
CUAGACUUGACAUCUCCUGAAUUACCCUUAACCGGGGAAGCCCUUCGGGGCAGGAAGACAGGUGGUGCAUGGUUGUCGUCAGCUCGUGUCGUGAGAUGUUGGGUUAAGUCCCGCAACGAGCGCAACCCUUAUCAUUAGUUGCUACCAUUAAGUUGAGCACUCUAGUGAGACUGCCACGGUUAACGUGGAGGAAGGUGGGGAUGACGUCAAAUCAUCAUGCCCCUUAUGUCUAGGGCUACACACGUGCUACAAUGGUGAAUACAAAGAGAUGCAAUACCGCGAGGUGGAGCCAAACUCAAAAAUUCAUCCCAGUUCGGAUUGUAGGCUGAAACUCGCCUACAUGAAGCCGGAGUUGCUAGUAAUCGCGAAUCAGCAUGUCGCGGUGAAUACGUUCCC